This is a non-coding RNA of Chiloscyllium plagiosum (whitespotted bambooshark), 1817 nucleotides long. NCBI's taxonomy places the organism in Eukaryota, Metazoa, Chordata, Chondrichthyes, Orectolobiformes, Hemiscylliidae. The record is from RefSeq and is a predicted model, not a curated record.
CUCCAUUAUGACAGAAUGUGUCAGGUAUUAUUUAAGGUAAUCACCUAAAUUUGUAGGUUGCUUGCAAGAUUGUGUUUUCUCCUGAAACGGUUUAUUAUGUUGAAUCGGGACAACCAAAAGCCACCAUUGAGUUACACACUGCGACAGCUUUAAGCAUUGCGAGCCUGUUCCGACAUCAUGAGUCGCUCAGUAAGUGGCAGGAGAAAUUCAAGGACCAGUAACCAGCAACACUCCCACCACACUGAUGCCCAAAACUGAAACAAACGAGUAAUAAAAUCAGGGCGUUGUCUUCAUAAAUCAAGGAGAAAUGCUCUGAUCCAUGCACGGGUAUGAUUUGAUUGCUUGCAGUCAUUUUUAACAUGUUUACAGUUGGUACAGCCCUGAACUUUAACCCCACCUCCUUCCCUGAUGGAAAAAAAACAAAAAAAAAACUCUGAAAAGACCUCCGAAUGCUCGCUGCUGGCUCAUCAGAGAUAAGUAAACGUCGAAUAUGUGCAAAACUGUUUGAUGUAACAAGCCGAAUUUAAACAGGAGCUGAUGUAACUGCACGCCUGAUAUCCGCUGACCUGCGAUGAGAUACAAUCGGCCAUAUAACUUCGGUCAAACGGCUCAACAAAGGUUGCCAGUUGUAAUCCAAGCAGGCCAGGAAAUUUUGGGAUAACCCUGGAAACCAGUGGUAAAAUAAUAAAAGCAGCUGUGCAGGAAUCAGCUUUCCAGUUUUAGGAAUUUCAUGCAGAUUUUCAAUAUCCCUUUUAAAUCUGCUCUUCUCUCUACUCCCCAUUUUUGUUUUCCCUUUCAUACAUUCUUUUUAAUGUAACUGGGGAAAUUAAAUUCAGGAAUGCCUGUUGACUUUUCCAUUCUUCCAGCUCCACACACUAAGUUUAAAGAGGGGAAAGGAGACAGAAAACCUAAUGGUAACCCUGUUCAGAACACCAGCGUUUGAUUUGGUUAAUGUAAAGACAUGCCUUCCAAAGUGAUUAGACCAUUGGCAUUCAUUGUUGGACUUUGAAAAAUGAUAAAGUAUUUGACCUAAUUUUUAAGCCUUUUACUUGUACUGAUGUGGUCAAAUAGUGACAAGCAUCUGAGUCACUCAUAAUAAAGAUGCCCACAUUUAUAGAUUUUAUUGAUCCAUUUAUAUCAUCUUUCAGAUCUACCCCAGCUGCCAUACCUGUGGCAUCAAGCUCCAAGAGACAAAAUGUCUUCAUAUGCACUAGUUAAUUAAACUCAGUUAGCAAUACCAUCACUGGAUUCAAGACCAUAGGCAACACCCAUACAUGUAUACAAAUGAGUUAAGAGUAGGCCAUUGGGACCCUCCAACCUUUAAGACAAUGGCUAAUCUGAAUGUAACCUCAACUCUGCAUGCCCACCAAUAGCCUUUCAUACCCUUACUUACCAAAGAUCUAUCCACCUUUGCCUGAAAACCACACAGAGGUGCUACUUCUCCUAUCUUUUGAGGAAGAGACUUCCACAAAUUCACAAACCUCUGAGAGAAACAAGGUUUCUUCUUAUUUCUGUUUUAAAUGAACAACCCAUUAUUUUUAAACCCCUUGUUUUUAUUUUGACACCUAGUUCUCACUUCUUCCACAAAACAAAGUACGCUUUCUACAUUGAAGCAAAACACAGUCAAUCAAGUUAUCUCUUAUUCUUCUAAACUCCAGCAGAUGGAACUCAGUCUUAUCUGUUUUCAUGACAUAAUACAUCCAUACCAGAUAUUAGUAUCAUAAACUUUCUUUGAAAUGCCUCCAAUGCCUUUAUAUUUUUCCUUCCAUAAAAAGACUAAUACUGUUCACAGUACUCCAGAAUUUUUUUUUUUCAAA